GAUGAACGCUGGCGGCGUGCCUAAUACAUGCAAGUCGAGCGAACGGACGAGAAGCUUGCUUCUCUGAUGUUAGCGGCGGACGGGUGAGUAACACGUGGAUAACCUACCUAUAAGACUGGGAUAACUUCGGGAAACCGGAGCUAAUACCGGAUAAUAUUUUGAACCGCAUGGUUCAAAAGUGAAAGACGGUCUUGCUGUCACUUAUAGAUGGAUCCGCGCUGCAUUAGCUAGUUGGUAAGGUAACGGCUUACCAAGGCAACGAUGCAUAGCCGACCUGAGAGGGUGAUCGGCCACACUGGAACUGAGACACGGUCCAGACUCCUACGGGAGGCAGCAGUAGGGAAUCUUCCGCAAAGGGCGAAAGCCUGACGGAGCAGCGCCGCGUGAGUGAUGAAGGUCUUCGGAUCGUAAAACUCUGUUAUUAGGGAAGAACAUAUGUGUAAGUAACUGUGCACAUCUUGACGGUACCUAAUCAGAAAGCCACGGCUAACUACGUG
Molecule: ribosomal RNA, 497 nt
Filed under: uncultured bacterium
Lineage: Bacteria
Description: partial 16S ribosomal RNA
Rfam family: Bacterial small subunit ribosomal RNA
Source: RNAcentral